GGCCUUUUGAAUAUGAUUUAAGGUCUGACCUGCCCAAUGAGUGGUUUAAUGGCCGCGGUAUUUUGACCGUGCAAAGGUAGCAUAAUCAUUAGUUUUUUAAUUGAAAGCUUGUAUGAAGGGUUUGAUGAAAAAUUUUCUGUCUUUUAAAAAGUUUAUUAAAAUUUUAUUUUUAGGUGAAAAAGCUUAAAUUUUUAUAGGGGACGAGAAGACCCUAUAGAGUUUAAUAUUUUUAAAAAAAUGAAAUUUUAGAAUUGUAAUUUUAUGUAUUGAUAAGUAUUUUAUUGGGGUGAUAGGAAAAUUUAAAGAACUUUUCUUUUUUUGUUACAUUUAUUGAUGGUUAUAUGAUCCUAUAUUAUAGAUUAAAAGAAUAAAUUACCUUAGGGAUAACAGCGUAAUUUUUUUUAGAGUUCUUAUCGAAAAAAAAGAUUGCGACCUCGAUGUUGGAUUAAAAUUAAUUAUAGGUGUAGGAGCUUAUAUGAUUAGGUCUGUUCGACCUUUGAAAUUUUACAUGAUCUGAGUUUAAACCGGUGUGAG
This 534-nucleotide ribosomal RNA is filed under the name Trigonopterus verrucosus. Its description in RNAcentral is "partial large subunit ribosomal RNA". It matches the Rfam family "Bacterial large subunit ribosomal RNA", at positions 1819 to 2625 of the family's 2925-position model. The record is from RNAcentral. Lineage: Eukaryota; Metazoa; Arthropoda; Insecta; Coleoptera; Curculionidae.